This 1378-nucleotide ribosomal RNA is filed under the name uncultured bacterium. Its description in RNAcentral is "bacterial SSU rRNA". It matches the Rfam family "Bacterial small subunit ribosomal RNA". The record is from RNAcentral.
AGAGUUUGAUCAGGGCUCAGGACGAACGCUGGCGGCGUGCUUAACACAUGCAAGUCGAGCGGUAAGGCCCCUUCGGGGGUACACGAGCGGCGAACGGGUGAGUAACACGUGAGCAAUCUGCCCUUCACACUGGGAUAACCCCGGGAAACCGGGGCUAAUACCGGAUAUUCACUUCCACAGGCAUCUGCGGAAGUGGAAAGCUCCGGCGGUGAAGGAUGAGCUCGCGGCCUAUCAGCUUGUUGGUGCGGGUAACGGCCCACCAAGGCGACGACGGGUAGCCGGCCUGAGAGGGUGACCGGCCACACUGGGACUGAGACACGGCCCAGACUCCUACGGGAGGCAGCAGUGGGGAAUAUUGGACAAUGGGCGAAAGCCUGAUCCAGCAACGCCGCGUGAGGGAUGAAGGCCUUCGGGUUGUAAACCUCUUUCAGCAGGGACGAAGCGCAAGUGACGGUACCUGCAGAAGAAGCACCGGCCAACUACGUGCCAGCAGCCGCGGUAAUACGUAGGGUGCAAGCGUUGUCCGGAAUUAUUGGGCGUAAAGAGCUCGUAGGCGGUCCGUCGCGUCGGGAGUGAAAACUCAGGGCUCAACCCUGAGCGUGCUUCCGAUACGGGCGGACUAGAGGUAGGUAGGGGAGAACGGAAUUCCUGGUGUAGCGGUGGAAUGCGCAGAUAUCAGGAGGAACACCGGUGGCGAAGGCGGUUCUCUGGGCCUUACCUGACGCUGAGGAGCGAAAGUGUGGGGAGCGAACAGGAUUAGAUACCCUGGUAGUCCACACCGUAAACGUUGGGCGCUAGGUGUGGGGGACAUUCCACGUCCUCCGUGCCGCAGCUAACGCAUUAAGCGCCCCGCCUGGGGAGUACGGCCGCAAGGCUAAAACUCAAAGGAAUUGACGGGGGCCCGCACAAGCGGCGGAGCAUGCGGAUUAAUUCGAUGCAACGCGAAGAACCUUACCUGGGUUUGACAUAUGCGGAAAACCUGCAGAGAUGUAGGGUCCUUACGGGCCGCAUACAGGUGGUGCAUGGCUGUCGUCAGCUCGUGUCGUGAGAUGUUGGGUUAAGUCCCGCAACGAGCGCAACCCUCGUCCUAUGUUGCCAGCACGUAAUGGUGGGGACUCAUGGGAGACUGCCGGGGUCAACUCGGAGGAAGGUGGGGAUGACGUCAAGUCAUCAUGCCCCUUAUGUCCAGGGCUUCACGCAUGCUACAAUGGCCGGUACAAUGGGCUGCGAAACCGCAAGGUAGAGCGAAUCCCAAAAAGCCGGUCUCAGUUCGGAUUGGGGUCUGCAACUCGACCCCAUGAAGUCGGAGUCGCUAGUAAUCGCAGAUCAGCAACGCUGCGGUGAAUACGUUCCCGGGCCUUGUACACACCGCCCGUCA